AGCUUUGCGCAGUGGCAGUAUCGUGGCCAAUGAGGUUUAUCCGAGGCGCGAUUAUUGCUAAUUAAAAAGCAAAUGCCAGGGUACCUAUGUGGUUCAGUCAGUUAAAUGUCUACCUUCAACUCAGGUCAUGAUCCCAGGGUC
This 141-nucleotide small nuclear RNA is filed under the name Mustela putorius furo (domestic ferret). RNAcentral's name for it is "U4 spliceosomal RNA (ENSMPUG00000023135.1)". The stretch from base 1 to 78 matches the Rfam family "U4 spliceosomal RNA". Rfam says of the family: U4 small nuclear RNA (U4 snRNA) is a component of the major U2-dependent spliceosome. Lineage: Eukaryota; Metazoa; Chordata; Mammalia; Carnivora; Mustelidae. The record is from RNAcentral.